UGCAUUCAAUGCUGCUAGUUUUCGUUCUUUGAUUUGAUUUUCUGAAUCCUGCUUUUGAAAUGCUCAAUUUUGGGUUGGAGAUGGAAUUACAUGAUAUCUCAAUACUUAAUUCUAUUAUACAUUAUGGAUUUAUAAUUAGUUUAAAAUCCAGAAAUUUAGGGAUUAAACUCUAUUCAUUUACAGUGCAUAUUUGAUAUGAGACUCUUUUCUUAUGACAAGUUGGUAGAUUAUAUAUUGAGUGUUAAAGAAGCAAAAUGAGUUCAGUGCUUGAUAUUGGGCUUUUAGAGGAGAUUGUGCAUAUUACAAUUGACUGGUUUGAUGUAACCCAGAAAAAAUGGAAAAAUUUGAUUGGUUUGUUUUUGAGAGUUAAAUGCCAGCAAAGGUUUGGCAUCCACUGAGUCAUGUCCUUGGGCGAUUGCUGUGUGGUUGAUAUCUUGUCUCUGUUUGUGUGCGCUGUGUUAAGGAGUUUUUGACAAGCCUUCUUUUCAUGUUCUUUCACGACAGGCUUCCUUUCUGGCCUUAUGUCAAGGGGGUAGUGACCGUCUUGUUAGUGGUACCUUAUUUUGGUGGUGCUUCUUAUGUUUACAAGUGUUUUGUGAGAACUCAUUCAUUUAAAGUUUCACACAUAUUCUGUUUGAUAUGGAACAUCUUGUUCUUCUCAAUGAGGAAAAGUUUCUCAUUCAGUGGGCAGAACAACUUUGUUGAUGAGAUAGGUAAAAACAUAAUUGUCGAUGGACAAGAAGAACUGCAGAAAUCUAUUGUUUUCCAGGUAUGCCUGUAAGCUAAUUUUUAUAUUUGGUUGAAUACUAUCUAAUGUAUGAAUCUAUGAUAUAUGGAGGCCAGAUACAUUGAAGAGUGCCAUGCAUCCCAGCAUAUUAUUAACUAUGAAAGUCCUUUCUAGUUGCCAAG
RNAcentral lists this unclassified non-coding RNA (909 nucleotides) under Hevea brasiliensis (rubber tree). Lineage: Eukaryota; Viridiplantae; Streptophyta; Magnoliopsida; Malpighiales; Euphorbiaceae. The record is from RNAcentral.